UACGGAGGGUGCAAGCGUUGUUCGGAAUCACUGGGCGUAAAGGGCGCGUAGGCGGGAUGGCAAGUCAGUCGUGAAAUCUCUCGGCUCAACCGAGAAACGUCGGCUGAUACUGCCGUUCUUGAGGGAUGCAGAGGAGACUGGAAUUCCCGGUGUAGCGGUGAAAUGUGUAGAGAUCGGGAGGAACACCGGUGGCGAAGGCGGGUCUCUGGGCAUUUCCUGACGCUGAGGCGCGAAAGCGUGGGGAGCAAACGGG
Molecule: ribosomal RNA, 253 nt
Filed under: uncultured bacterium
Lineage: Bacteria
Description: partial 16S ribosomal RNA
Rfam family: Bacterial small subunit ribosomal RNA
Source: RNAcentral